AGGACUUAGCACACAUGUGAACA
RNAcentral lists this microRNA (23 nucleotides) under Salmo salar (Atlantic salmon). Its description in RNAcentral is "ssa-miR-27d-5p". Its record names the gene ssa-miR-27d-5p. Lineage: Eukaryota; Metazoa; Chordata; Actinopteri; Salmoniformes; Salmonidae. The record is from miRBase by way of RNAcentral.